CAACAAGCCUAUGAGAUCAAUACUCUUAUUAACCAUACAGAUGAGGGAACUGAGGCACAUAGAAGUUAAAUAUUUGCCUAAAAUCACACAACCAGGAAUUGGAAGAAGCGACAUUCAAGGCCCCAAAGCUUACAAUUAUGACCCAACUCAGGAGAAAUACAGUGUAAAAUAGUAGUAACAUUAAAUAUUUGUGAGUGUGUAGGAAGUGAGCUCUAUAGGUAGAAGUUUCCAUUUGGAUAUCUA
Long non-coding RNA from Phyllostomus discolor (pale spear-nosed bat), 243 nucleotides. RefSeq lists it as uncharacterized. The transcript is spliced from 3 exons. The record is from RefSeq and is a predicted model, not a curated record. NCBI's taxonomy places the organism in Eukaryota, Metazoa, Chordata, Mammalia, Chiroptera, Phyllostomidae.